UGGUGGAUUGAUUUGUCUGGUUUAUUCCGGUAACGAACGAGACCCUACUGUCGAUAAUAGAGUCUUCCAGGUAAUGGCUGGGGUUUCCCUUGGUUCUGGAAUUGAUUCUUCUAUCGGGGACAGCGGUCAAUUAGGCCGAGGAAGGGGGGGACGAUAACA
This 159-nucleotide ribosomal RNA is filed under the name uncultured eukaryote. RNAcentral's name for it is "partial 18S ribosomal RNA". It matches the Rfam family "Eukaryotic small subunit ribosomal RNA", at positions 1299 to 1458 of the family's 1831-position model. The record is from RNAcentral.